CGAACGCUGGCGGCGUGCUUAACACAUGCAAGUCGAACGGAAAGGCCCUGCUUGCAGGGUACUCGAGUGGCGAACGGGUGCGUAACACGUGGGUGAUCUGCCCUGCACUUCGGGAUAAGCCUGGGAAACUGGGUCUAAUACCGGAUAGGAGCCAUUUUUAGUGUGAUGGUUGGAAAGUUUUUUCGGUGUAGGAUGAGCUCGCGGCCUAUCAGCUUGUUGGUGGGGUAAUGGCCUACCAAGGCGGCGACGGGUAGCCGGCCUGAGAGGGUGGACGGCCACAUUGGGACUGAGAUACGGCCCAGACUCCUACGGGAGGCAGAAGUGGGGAAUAUUGCACAAUGGGCGCAAGCCUGAUGCAGCGACGCCGCGUGGGGGAUGACGGCCUUCGGGUUGUAAACUCCUUUCGCUAGGGACGAAGCUUUUUGUGACGGUACCUAGAUAAGAAGCACCGGCUAACUACGUG
This 463-nucleotide ribosomal RNA is filed under the name uncultured bacterium. RNAcentral's name for it is "partial 16S ribosomal RNA". It matches the Rfam family "Bacterial small subunit ribosomal RNA", at positions 30 to 507 of the family's 1533-position model. The record is from RNAcentral.